GACGAACGCUGGCGGCGUGCUUAACACAUGCAAGUCGAACGAAGUGGCGAACGGGUGAGUAAUACGUGGGUAACCUGCCCUCCUUUUUGGGAUAAGCCUUGGAAACGGGGUCUAAUACCGAAUAAAGGGGGAUGGGCUCGCGGCUUAUCAGCUUGUUGGUGGGGUGAUGGCCUACCAAGGCGGUGACGGGUAGCCGGCCUGGGAGGGUGACCGGGAUGAUUGUGAGUGAGGGACGGACCAGAUGCCUAAGGGAGGCGGCAGUGGGGGAUAUAGCAGAAUGGGAGAAAGCCUGAUGCAGGUACGCCGCGUGGGGGAUGAAGGCUGGCGGGUUGUAAACCUCUAUAGCUAUCGAACGGGUAGGUGAAGAAGAAGCGCCGGCUAACUACGUGCCAGCAGCCGCGGUAAUAC
This 408-nucleotide ribosomal RNA is filed under the name uncultured bacterium. Its description in RNAcentral is "partial 16S ribosomal RNA". It matches the Rfam family "Bacterial small subunit ribosomal RNA", at positions 28 to 526 of the family's 1533-position model. The record is from RNAcentral.